UACGGAGGGUGCGAGCGUUGUCCGGAUUUAUGGGGCGUAAAGAGCUCGUAGGCGGCUUGUCGCGUCGAAUGUGAAAACCCACAGCUCAACUGUGGGCUUGCAUUCGAUACGGGCAGGCUCGAGUUCGGUAGGGGAGACUGGAAUUCCUGGUGUAGCGGUGAAAUGCGCAGAUAUCAAGUGGAACACCAGUGGCGAAGGCGAGUCUCUGGACAUUUCCUGACGCUGAGGCACGAAAGCCAGGGGAGCAAACGGG
Molecule: ribosomal RNA, 253 nt
Filed under: uncultured bacterium
Lineage: Bacteria
Description: partial 16S ribosomal RNA
Rfam family: Bacterial small subunit ribosomal RNA
Source: RNAcentral